Molecule: long non-coding RNA, 2108 nt
Filed under: Pan troglodytes (chimpanzee)
Lineage: Eukaryota; Metazoa; Chordata; Mammalia; Primates; Hominidae
Description: long non-coding RNA NONPTRT003464
Source: RNAcentral
UUCACAUUUUAUUUAUGUAUAUUCUACUAUGGAAUUAGAUUUCUCUGGUCGUCACCUUGGUUCUGGGACAUCCGACAGUGCUGGCAUAACUAUCCAUUUCAGCCUCUUUCAAGUGGGCUUUAUUACUAUUAUAUCAUGGAAUUGGCCUUCUAUUGGUCCCUUAUGUUUUCUCAGUUUACAGACAUUAAAAGAAAGGACUUCCUGAUCAUGUUUGUGCAUCACUUGGUCACCAUUGGGCUUAUCUCCUUCUCCUACAUCAACAAUAUGGUUCGAGUGGGAACUCUGAUCAUGUGUCUACAUGAUGUCUCAGACUUCUUGCUGGAGCUCAAUUCUUUCUUCCUUUCUCCAGGCAGCCAAACUGGCCAAUUAUGCCAAGUAUCAGCGGCUCUGUGACACCCUUUUUGUGAUCUUCAGUGCUGUUUUUAUGGUUACACGACUAGGAAUCUAUCCAUUCUGGUAAGUGGUAGGCUGUAGAGUUGUGGUAGGUAUGAGCCUAAUGAUACCUUUUUGCCAAUUCUCAUUUUGCCCAUUCAGUUUUUCUGUUCUAUUCUAUUCUACUUUCGCCAAUAGAACACAAGAACCCUAUUGCCCUGCUUUUACCUUAGCCUGUGCUGACCUUCUGUGGACUCUCACAGGACCUCUGCUGCCUCACACCGUAUUUCUAGCAAGGUCGGAUCCAGACUCAGAGUACCCGGCUUGGUUGGCUUCUCAGGACUGACUCAUCUCAGGAACAGUCCUCAUUUUAUGCCUAAGAUUCUGAACACGACCCUCUUUGAGAGCUGGGAGAUAAUCGGGCCUUAUGCUUCAUGGUGGCUCCUCAAUGGCCUGCUGCUGACCCUACAGGUUCUGCAUGUCAUCUGGUCCUACCUAAUUGCACGGAUUGCUUUGAAAGCCUUGAUCAGGGGAAAGGUGACCUGUCCAGGAAGGAUUAGACCCUGUACUCUCCAUUCUUUCCUCACCUCCUUCCUUUUUUCUAUGCCUGGCAGGAGCUGGACAGUUUCAUCUCUUGCAUGUAUCGAAGGAUGACCGCAGUGAUGUGGAGAGCAGCUCAGAGGAAGAAGAUGUGACCACCUGCACAAAAAGUCCCUGUGACAGUAGCUCCAGCAAUGGUGCCAAUCGGGUGAAUGGUCACAUGGGAGGCAGCUACUGGGCUGAAGAGUAAGGUGGUUGCUAUGGGGACUUCAGCACACAUGGACUUGUAGGGCCACUGGCAACAUACUCCUCUUGGCCCUUCCCAUAUCUACUCUUCUGUGAUUGGGAGACUGCAAGGCACUGAGGAGUAUCAAAGAAGCAAAUAUUUUCACUUUGAAAGAAAACUGCCAUUUUGUAUUUAAUAGUCUCCAGGUUCUUUCAGUAAUGUUAUUUGCUCUGUGUGUUUUUGUGUGUUUGUUGAUGUGCGUUUGUGCAUAUGCGUGAGUUUCAUUGCCGGGUUGGGGCACAAUUGUGGACUGGGGCCGUGAGGCCUUCCCUGGUCCCCACUGAACCCACCUUAGUUCCACAUUUGGCUGCAUCUUGAAUUAUGCCGACUCCAGACUGUCUCCUCCUUUUUUGCCCUUGGCUCUUGACACUCUAAACCCCUGGACCAUCUGAAUGGAGCAGUCAAGUGCAGUCCCAGAUUUCUGUACUGUUCCUCUUUCACAGCUGGAAUAUGUCACAUGAUGAAGUUGUAUAGAAACAGAACCAUGGAUGGAUGGCCAGGAUUGCCGUGGUCCCUAGCUAGAUCCCCUUCCUAUCAAUCACCUGAUAGCAACAGGGACAGCUGCCAAUACCCUGCUCUUUACUCAAUGGUACCCAGGGAGGGAGCAUGGGAAGAGGGUGAGCUGAGGGCUGGGGGAGGGCAACAGCCACUGGGUGAGCUGUUCACGGUCUUAUACUAUUGUUUGUGAUUAAAAGUGCUUCAACCCACCUCUACUGUCUCAACCUCUUCAGUGACUCUAUCUGCAGUUUCCUGAAUCCAUAAGCUAAUUAAGAGCUUUUCCAGGUCUGAUUCAAAAGGCCCUGGACACCAAAUUUUUCCUUUCUGUGCAUGGUAGGAAGAGUCAGCCAGGGUGCUUACAUUUUAGAGCUUUAUGUUUUUUAAGAAAAAGAAGAAUCACUUGAACCUGGGA